CAGAUCGAAGGACAAAAGGACGAAAGACUGUAGAUAAAGGAAAAUGUUACACUCCUGUUACUCAUUAAUGUGAGAAAGAGUAACGCACAACGUGGCUAAUUAGUCCCUCCUUCUAAAUAAAAGAGUGAAUGGUUGAUUGGAGAAGUCACUCUUCAUCUCAACAUCUUUCAGAAGCUGCGGUUGCUGUAGUUUAUUCUGAGAUACGUGUGUAUGACUGCACAUGAGCAUCGACUGCUGCAGACUGAAAAGAGCUUCUUUUUAAAUGCUUUAUGAACAUAGUUAACAUUGGCUCCUCAGUCUCGGGUGGCAUCUGUGGCUCAGUUUUGGUUAAGAUGAUACGAAUCCUAAAUGAUGAUUUUUUUGUUGAGUUAUGUUAAAUGAGGUAUAAAGAUGGAAAUGUAAUGGUAAUUUGUUUUGUAAUUGGCUCUUUUUUCUUACCUAAUUCACAGGGAGGUAAAGAGGUGUUGGUGCAUUAGUUUCCGUGUCCAUCCUGGAGCUGGAGCUUAUCCCAGCAACCACAGGCCAAAAGAUUGAAAAUGACCCUGAAGAGGAGACCAGUCUGUCACAGAGAUAACACACACAAUAUUGAUCAAAUAAAAUCAUCCUCUAGUCCCUGAUUAACUAUA
Long non-coding RNA from Cyprinus carpio (common carp), 626 nucleotides. RefSeq lists it as uncharacterized. The record is from RefSeq and is a predicted model, not a curated record. The transcript is spliced from 2 exons. NCBI's taxonomy places the organism in Eukaryota, Metazoa, Chordata, Actinopteri, Cypriniformes, Cyprinidae.